RNAcentral lists this ribosomal RNA (579 nucleotides) under uncultured bacterium. Its description in RNAcentral is "bacterial SSU rRNA". It matches the Rfam family "Bacterial small subunit ribosomal RNA", at positions 338 to 916 of the family's 1533-position model. The record is from RNAcentral.
CCUACGGGAGGCAGCAGUAAGGAAUAUUGGUCAAUGGGGGGCAACCCUGAACCAGCCAUGCCGCGUGCAGGAAGACGGCCCUACGGGUUGUAAACUGCUUUUAUACGGGAAUAAACCUCUCUUCGUGAAGAGAGCUGAAUGUACUGUAAGAAUAAGGAUCGGCUAACUCCGUGCCAGCAGCCGCGGUAAUACGGAGGAUCCAAGCGUUAUCCGGAUUUAUUGGGUUUAAAGGGUGCGUAGGCGGCCUAUUAAGUCAGGGGUGAAAGACGGUGGCUCAACCAUCGCAGUGCCCUUGAUACUGAUGGGCUUGAUUACACUUGAGGUAGGCGGAAUGUGACAAGUAGCGGUGAAAUGCAUAGAUAUGUCACAGAACACCAAUUGCGAAGGCAGCUUACUAAGGUGUUAAUGACGCUGAGGCACGAAAGCGUGGGGAUCAAACAGGAUUAGAUACCCUGGUAGUCCACGCCCUAAACGAUGAAUACUCGAUGUUAGCGAUAUACAGUUAGCGUCAAAGCGAAAGCGUUAAGUAUUCCACCUGGGGAGUACGCCCGCAAGGGUGAAACUUAAAGGAAUUGACGG